This is a long non-coding RNA of Pelodiscus sinensis (Chinese soft-shelled turtle), 581 nucleotides long. RefSeq lists it as uncharacterized. The record is from RefSeq and is a predicted model, not a curated record. NCBI's taxonomy places the organism in Eukaryota, Metazoa, Chordata, Testudines, Trionychidae.
ACCUGCAGGGGCUCAGUGCGUGCUGCUGGGAAACCAGCGCGCGUUGGGUGUUGAUGCUGGUGUGUGUUUUCUUUCAGGGAAGAUCGUGACUAUCUGAAAAGUGCAAGAAAAAACUCCCCCCCCCCCCCCCCCCCCGGCAUCUAAGCAAGCCAGCGCAGGGAGAGGCAGGAAGGCGUCUCUUCUGACAGGCUACCAUAAUUGGUCUGCAGCUCAUGCAUUCAGAAGGGGAACAAUGUAAACCAAGAGUCACAUCAGGGAAGCAAAGAGCUUCUCUACAAAAUGAAGACUUGACAGUUACAGAUAAAAGCCACGUUGAGCAUUCAAGAGUGAGCCCAAAUGGGAGCAGCAGUAGGUCUCUGAAAAGAAGAGGAACCUGUUGCUGUUGCCGUAAAGAGUGACUGUCAAGAUGUUUAGAGAGGUGGGAGUGAGCAUGUGAGUAGUCUCGUAACUCAAAUGGGACUUCCCGUGAAGAAGUUUUUGCACAGUAGGAGCCUAGUAAGAUAAACAUGAAAAGCGGGAAGGAUGACAUGGAUUGCUAGUUUCCUCUUACCCUUUUUAUUAAAAUAUUAUUUAAAAAUGAA